GUCUGCGGCCAUGCUACCCUGAACAAGCCCGAUCCUGUCUGAUCUCGAAAGCUAAGCAGGGUUGGGCCCAGUUAGUACUUGGAGAGGAGACCACCUAGGAAGACCAGGUGCUAUAGGUG
Molecule: ribosomal RNA, 119 nt
Filed under: Pteropus alecto (black flying fox)
Lineage: Eukaryota; Metazoa; Chordata; Mammalia; Chiroptera; Pteropodidae
Source: RNAcentral